UACAUGUGGGGCAAGCGUUGUUCGGAAUUACUGGGCAUAAAAGAUGCGUAGGUGGUUUGUUAAGUCAAAAGUGAAAUCCCGCGGCCCAACCGUGGAACUGCCUUUGAUACUGGCGAACUUGAAUGCAUAAAGGAUAAAAAGAACGAGCAGUAUAGCGGUGAAAUGCGUAGAUAUUGCUCGGAAAACCAGAGCCAAAGGGGCCCUACUAGUACGUAACUGACACUGAGGCACGAAAGCGUAGAAAGCAAACAGA
RNAcentral lists this ribosomal RNA (253 nucleotides) under uncultured bacterium. RNAcentral describes it as "partial 16S ribosomal RNA". It matches the Rfam family "Bacterial small subunit ribosomal RNA", at positions 524 to 776 of the family's 1533-position model. The record is from RNAcentral.